Molecule: ribosomal RNA, 800 nt
Filed under: uncultured bacterium
Lineage: Bacteria
Description: bacterial SSU rRNA
Rfam family: Bacterial small subunit ribosomal RNA
Source: RNAcentral
AGAGUUUGAUCCUGGCUCAGGACGAACGCUGGCGGCGUGCUUAACACAUGCAAGUCGAGCGAUGAAGUUCCUUCGGGAAUGGAUUAGCGGCGGACGGGUGAGUAACACGUGGGUAACCUGCCUCAUAGAGGGGAAUAGCCUUUCGAAAGGAAGAUUAAUACCGCAUAAGAUUGUAGUACCGCAUGGUACAGCAAUUAAAGGAGUAAUCCGCUAUGAGAUGGACCCGCGUCGCAUUAGCUAGUUGGUGAGGUAACGGCUCACCAAGGCGACGAUGCGUAGCCGACCUGAGAGGGUGAUCGGCCACAUUGGGACUGAGACACGGCCCAGACUCCUACGGGAGGCAGCAGUGGGGAAUAUUGCACAAUGGGGGAAACCCUGAUGCAGCAACGCCGCGUGAGUGAUGACGGUCUUCGGAUUGUAAAGCUCUGUCUUCAGGGACGAUAAUGACGGUACCUGAGGAGGAAGCCACGGCUAACUACGUGCCAGCAGCCGCGGUAAUACGUAGGUGGCAAGCGUUGUCCGGAUUUACUGGGCGUAAAGGAUGCGUAGGCGGAUUUUUAAGUCAGAUGUGAAAUACCCGGGCUCAACUUGGGUGCUGCAUUUGAAACUGGAGAUCUAGAGUGCGGGAGAGGAAAGUGGAAUUCCUAGUGUAGCGGUGAAAUGCGUAGAGAUUAGGAAGAACACCAGUGGCGAAGGCGAUUCUCUGGACCAUAACUGACGCUGAGGCAUGAAAGCGUGGGUAGCAAACAGGAUUAGAUACCCUGGUAGUCCACGCCGUAAACGAUGAGUACUAGGUGUAG